AAGCUUCAGGAAACGGGAGGGUGCCUCUGGAGGAACCCGGUGACGGGUGCUGCAUGGCUGUCGUCAGCUCGUGUCGUGAGAUGUUGGGUUAAGUCCCGCAACGAGCGCAACCCUUGUCUUUAGUUGCCAUCAUUAAGUUGGGCACUCUAAAGAGACUCCCGGUGUCAAACCGGAGGAAGGUGGGGAUGACGUCAAGUCCUCAUGGCCUUUAUGACCAGGGCUACACACGUACUACAAUGGCAUAGACAAAGGGCAGCGACAUCGCGAGGUGAAGCGAAUCCCAUAAACUAUGUCUCAGUCCGGAUUGGAGUCUCCAACUCGACUCCAUGAAGUUGGAAUCGCUAGUAAUCGUAGAUCAGCAUGCUACGGUGAAUACGUUCCCGGGCCUUGUACACACCGCCCGUCACACCACGGGAGUUGGUUGUACCAGAAGCAGUUGAGCAAACUUUUCGGAGAUGCAGGCUGCCAAGGUAUGAUUGGUAACUGGGGUGAAGUCGUAACAAGGUA
Molecule: ribosomal RNA, 507 nt
Filed under: uncultured bacterium
Lineage: Bacteria
Description: bacterial SSU rRNA
Rfam family: Bacterial small subunit ribosomal RNA
Source: RNAcentral